Molecule: ribosomal RNA, 497 nt
Filed under: uncultured bacterium
Lineage: Bacteria
Description: partial 16S ribosomal RNA
Rfam family: Bacterial small subunit ribosomal RNA
Source: RNAcentral
GACGAACGCUGGCGGCGUGCCUAAUACAUGCAAGUAGAACGCUGAAGAGAGGAGCUUGCUCUUCUUGGAUGAGUUGCGAACGGGUGAGUAACGCGUAGGUAACCUGCCUUGUAGCGGGGGAUAACUAUUGGAAACGAUAGCUAAUACCGCAUAACAAUGGAUGACACAUGUCAUUUAUUUGAAAGGGGCAAUUGCUCCACUACAAGAUGGACCUGCGUUGUAUUAGCUAGUAGGUGAGGUAAUGGCUCACCUAGGCGACGAUACAUAGCCGACCUGAGAGGGUGAUCGGCCACACUGGGACUGAGACACGGCCCAGACUCCUACGGGAGGCAGCAGUAGGGAAUCUUCGGCAAUGGGGGCAACCCUGACCGAGCAACGCUGCGUGAGUGAAGAAGGUUUUCGGAUCGUAAAGCUCUGUUGUAAGUCAAGAACGGGUGUGAGAGUGGAAAGUUCACACUGUGACGGUAGCUUACCAGAAAGGGACGGCUAACUACGUG